Molecule: non-coding RNA, 62 nt
Organism: Dipodomys ordii (Ord's kangaroo rat)
Lineage: Eukaryota; Metazoa; Chordata; Mammalia; Rodentia; Heteromyidae
Source: Rfam
GGGAAGGUGGCUCAGUGGUAGAGUGCUUGCCUUGCAUGCAUGAGGCCCUGGAUUCCAUUCCU